RNAcentral lists this long non-coding RNA (612 nucleotides) under Homo sapiens (human). Its description in RNAcentral is "HSALNT0115913". The record is from RNAcentral. Lineage: Eukaryota; Metazoa; Chordata; Mammalia; Primates; Hominidae.
CAGAGACUGGGAAUGGAGAGAGUGUCCCAACUCAAUUUCCUGCCUUUGGUUCUGAGAGAUUCCCUUGUGCCCCAUUUGCUCAAGCCUGUGUGCGUAGGAGUGGGUUGCUUCCUGCCAAGUCAUCCCUAAUGAAAUGUGAAAAUGCAAAUGCCAGACACAAAGUGGAUGUGCAGUUCUUCAAGGUUUGAUAACAUUAACCUGAUGCCUAGGGUCUCAGAAGAAACCAGUUUUGGGGCCUGCUUCAGAACUAACCAGCAAACACCAAGGGCCUACACUGUGCUCAGCCCACUGAAAUGUGGCAUGGGGUGAAGUUUGUGAGCUCCAACCUGCUAGCAUUUCUUCUUUACGGAAUCAGAUGGAGGUGGUUCUGGGCCAGAGACAAAUCUAAGGGAAAGAAUUGCUGUUUCUCCUGCACGGCAGAGGAGCGGCUGCUGGGUAAGCAGCCCUUUCUGGCUGUCUCUCUCCAGGUGAGGUGAAUCAUCUCUCUGGAGGCUCCCUGAGCUCUCAGAGGCUGAAACCCCAAGGCCGAUGAAUCACAAGGAGAAUGAAGCAGUCUGCUUUUCAGUUUUCCUCGCGAUUUUUAUUGCAACCACCUUUACAUCAUGCAGAGGU